CCUACGGGGCGCAGCAGUGGGGAAUAUUGGACAAUGGGCGAAAGCCUGAUCCAGCCAUGCCGCGUGUGUGAAGAAGGCCUUCGGGUUGUAAAGCACUUUCAGUGGGGAAGAAAGCCUUGGGGCUAAUACCCUCGAGGAAGGACAUCACCCACAGAAGAAGCACCGGCUAACUCCGUGCCAGCAGCCGCGGUAAUACGGAGGGUGCGAGCGUUAAUCGGAAUUACUGGGCGUAAAGCGCGCGUAGGCGGUCUGAUAAGCCGGUUGUGAAAGCCCCGGGCUCAACCUGGGAACGGCAUCCGGAACUGUCAGGCUAGAGUGCAGGAGAGGAAGGUAGAAUUCCCGGUGUAGCGGUGAAAUGCGUAGAGAUCGGGAGGAAUACCAGUGGCGAAGGCGGCCUUCUGGAUUGACACUGACGCUGAGGUGCGAAAGCGUGGGUAGCAAACAGGAUUAGAUACCCGGGUAUC
This 464-nucleotide ribosomal RNA is filed under the name Vreelandella stevensii. Its description in RNAcentral is "partial 16S ribosomal RNA". It matches the Rfam family "Bacterial small subunit ribosomal RNA", at positions 338 to 794 of the family's 1533-position model. Lineage: Bacteria; Pseudomonadati; Pseudomonadota; Gammaproteobacteria; Oceanospirillales; Halomonadaceae. The record is from RNAcentral.